UUCCUCUUCCACGGUUUUCAUGAGAUGAAAGAAAGUGCUGUGUGACUGCCAUGAAGGUAGGGAUUGCUUCAAUGCCGAAUGAUUUUGCAAUGGUGGAUUCUUUUGAGAUGAGUAAUGUGUAAAGUUCUUUAAGGAAAAUGGUGCAACUUCGAGUUCUAAUUGAUGUGCGAAAGGCAUUGAAAGCUGCAGAAAGACCAUUUAAGAUCUGAGGUCUAGAAUGUUAACUAUGGUAUUAGAAGAAUAUCUCUUUCCUAGAGAAAACUAUAAUGAUUUGGAGGAGGUUGAGCCAACGACAUGAACAAAGGAAGAGGGUGAUAAAGUAGUGUUUAUGAGGGUGAUGAGGACUUGGUCACGGGAGAGCCAUUGAAGAUACUCAAGAUUGAUUUCAGGGGUAAUUCUAACAGCCGUAGAAAAUAAGAAUUUUAAAGGACAAGGAAGGGAAUCGUCAAUGUGGUCGAAAAAAGAAUGGGCUUUGAGGAUGGAAGAAACUUGGUAUUUUCAUAGGACAUAGUUUGUGGAGUCCAGACAAAGGGGUACGAGGUUGCAAAUAUUGGAUAGUAAGAAGAGGGUGGAAGUAGGAACAUGUUGAUUUUGUGGUGAUAUCUCUGUGGAAAUGGUAGGCGUUUUAGUGGAGAUGGGUUCAUUUUGAGAGCUGGAGGUGGCCAUUGAAGAGGUAUGAAAAAUUUUAGUUUGAGAAAAGCUGUGAUACCACAAAAAGAUUGUAAAAGAAAUUGUAUUGAAUUGCUUGAUUCUUUUAAUUGAUAGAUUUUAAUAUUUAUACAAAUACAAUGAGAUAAAUAUGGUAGAAAAUAAUGACAAUUAAUUACAAUUAAUUUACAAUCAAGGGCUUAAAUUAUGGAAGGAGAUUUGGGGAA
Cucumis melo (muskmelon) is the source of this 875-nucleotide long non-coding RNA. RefSeq lists it as uncharacterized. The transcript is spliced from 2 exons. NCBI's taxonomy places the organism in Eukaryota, Viridiplantae, Streptophyta, Magnoliopsida, Cucurbitales, Cucurbitaceae. The record is from RefSeq and is a predicted model, not a curated record.